This 301-nucleotide ribosomal RNA is filed under the name uncultured bacterium. Its description in RNAcentral is "partial 16S ribosomal RNA". It matches the Rfam family "Bacterial small subunit ribosomal RNA", at positions 509 to 808 of the family's 1533-position model. The record is from RNAcentral.
CAGCAGCCGCGGUAAUACGUAGGGUGCAAGCGUUAAUCGGAAUUACUGGGCGUAAAGCGUGCGCAGGCGGUUAUAUAAGACAGAUGUGAAAUCCCCGGGCUCAACCUGGGAACUGCAUUUGUGACUGUAUAGCUAGAGUACGGCAGAGGGGGAUGGAAUUCCGCGUGUAGCAGUGAAAUGCGUAGAUAUGCGGAGGAACACCGAUGGCGAAGGCAAUCCCCUGGGCCUAUAACUGACGCUGAGGCGCGAAAGCGUGGGGAGCAAACAGGAUUAGAUACCCCUGUAGUCCCUGUCUCUUAUA